This 71-nucleotide transfer RNA is filed under the name Loxodonta africana (African savanna elephant). It matches the Rfam family "tRNA". Rfam says of the family: Transfer RNA (tRNA) molecules are approximately 80 nucleotides in length. Their secondary structure includes four short double-helical elements and three loops (D, anti-codon, and T loops). Further hydrogen bonds mediate the characteristic L-shaped molecular structure. tRNAs have two regions of fundamental functional importance: the anti-codon, which is responsible for specific mRNA codon recognition, and the 3' end, to which the tRNAs corresponding amino acid is attached (by aminoacyl-tRNA synthetases). tRNAs cope with the degeneracy of the genetic code in two manners: having more than one tRNA (with a specific anti-codon) for a particular amino acid; and 'wobble' base-pairing, i.e. permitting non-standard base-pairing at the 3rd anti-codon position. The record is from Rfam by way of RNAcentral. Lineage: Eukaryota; Metazoa; Chordata; Mammalia; Proboscidea; Elephantidae.
CCACUGGUAGUUCAGUGGUAGGAUUAUCCCUUUCCACGUGGAAGACCCAGGUUAGAUUCCUGGCCAAUGCC